CGGAUAUCACUAAGGUAUGGAAGUAAAUUCGAUUCUCGAUAUCGCGACGGUAUUUCCUAGAUUGUUGCGGCCAGGUUUUUCAUUCCCGUUUUCGUUUUUAGGCUUUAUUGAGUGCGUGGAAAGAGGGAUGUGCAGCAGCGGGUUCCGGCAAAGUCGUGGUACCAAAAGGGAAGUACUUUUAAGGCGUGGUGGAUUUGAUAGGCCCUUGCAAGGGUGCCAUGCAUCUUCAAGUGGAAGGAACGUUGGUGGCGCCAGCAAAAGCUAGCCAACACAACAAGAAUAGCUGGGUUACAUUGAGAUACCUGGACCGAUUAACGGUAUCCGGUGGCGGGGCCUUCGACGGACUAGGAGAAUUUGCUUGGGAGCGAGCGCACUGUGGUGAUAGAUGCAAGAUACCACUUCCAAUUGUAAGCAAAACCGAAUGCUACUUUACAAAACAACAGCCAUUCAUAGACCCGUUCAUGGCAGCAAUACUAAUAAUGUUUUCUUUGUGUAAUUGCUGUAUCAAAACUGUACCAAAACCUACGGUUUGACUUCGUCACCAACAGCAUAGUUGAGGACGUAACUUCCAUCGAUAGCAAGCAGUUCCACGUCAAUGUCCUCGGCAGCAAAAACCUCACCUUCCAGCGGUUUUCAGUGAAAGCCCCGGGACAUAGUCUCAACACCGAUGGAAUUCACAUUGGACGAUCGGAGGGGAUCAACAUAAUUAAUUCAAACAUUGUUGUAACGACCUCAAAUUGGACCGUCACCGGCGCUAGGAUUCAGGUCGGCUUAAGGCCGCCAGAACCCGUAGCAAGCCUACUAUACUCUCUGUGUACCUGUAAAACUCAUACAUGAUCAUACAUUUUCUGUGAAAAUAAAAACUCUUUGCUGAACCACGGCUUAACCUGUGCAUGCACUAUCUCUGUACUCUGUACUCUGUACUCUGUACUCCCUGACUAGAGCUUGCUCUAGAUGGGUUCAUUCAUACCUGUUAAGCCUGGUUUUUCACAUACUCUGUAAAACAUAUACAUAUACAGAUCAUGUACAUAACAAAAGCUUUACAACACAACAUAACGAAGUCAAGCAUAACUCUACCUUAAUACACAACUAUUACAGCUCUUUAACAUUUACAUGUCGACUCUAUACUAUUACAAGCUCUUUCUGUACUCUGCUGGACUGUCCCUGUACACUGUUUACUGAACCUGCAAAACUGGGGUUAAGGGAGUGGGAUGAGCUCUAUAGCCCAAUGAGUAGAACAGGAAAACAUCUCAGUAAAAUAUGAUCUCAUGGAAUGCAUCAUAUCACAAACAAUCCAUAUCAAAGGUAAACCUGUCACCACAUAGUCCCAGUAACUCUAUGCCAGGGCGUAGAAUCGAGCACCUGGUCUUCCUGUGAUAUAUGUAUAUGUGUAUAUAACACCUCUGUACUUACCAUUGCCAGGGCGUAGUCAAAGGCUCCUGGACUUUAUUAUAUACCUGCCAGGGCAUAGUCAAAGGCUCCUGGACUUCUCUAUACCUGCCAGGGCGUAGUCAAAGGCUCCUGGACUUCCUGUCUGGAACUAUUGGAUCAUUCAGCAUUUACCCACACCAACAAUAUAGCUAUGCAAUCCACAUCUUUGUGAGUUCUAAUGCAAUCAACAUAUUGCAUAAACAUGAUGCAUGAAAGAUGCUAAAAGCAGUUAAUGUCUUAAUUAAAAUGAGUCAGAAGUUUAGUUCCACUCACCUCUGGCUACCUGGACUGACUGACUGUGCAGGUUCUGAAAACUCUAAGCAGAACUCACUGCUGCUCUCUCUGGUUCCUCUGGUCUGUAUAGGUACAGAGAAAACUCAAAUGAGGGACCAAACUAGCGUAUGACCACUCGAUUAAACUCCCCAAGAAUCCCCUUAAACUCACUUCAAAACUCAUGCAAAGCAUGCAAAGGAAAGCUGGACAGAACACUUUCGGCGGCAGGUUCGGCGGCCGAAAGUCCUCUCCAGAGAUGAAACUCAAGCACCUUCGGCGGCCGAAGCUCUUCUUUCGGCGGCCGAAGCUCUUCUUUCGGGGGCUAGUUUCGGGGGCCAAAAGGCACUCCAGAGACGAAAGUCUCUAACCUUCGGCGGCCGAAUCCCCCAAACAGAGCCGAACAUGCAAAACUCUCGGGGGCAAGCUGUGGCAGCCAAAGCCACCAUGCAAGAGGUUCGGCGGCCGAAUGAUCCUUCGGCUGCCGAACCUGAGUUCAUCCAGAACUCAGCCCCGACGGCAAACAAGCUCCUCCAUCCCUUCAAGCUCUCAAAACAUGCAUACCUCAACUCCUCUACACACAUAUACUCAUGUAUAUGUAUAAAGGGGUCCCAAACUACCUAAGCACCCCAACAAACACAUCAAAGAUAACACAUAAACAUGCUUACAUGCAUAAACCAUUAAAACAACACCCUUCAGCACCCAAGCAUGCAUCUCUACCCACCCUUUAGGAUAAAACUGUUGUAAAUCAUUAAAACAUGUUCAAGAUCUUCACUUACCUUCUGUAACCAAGAAGAUGAACGAUCUGAACAAAGAGAAAUGGAUCAACUCCUCUUCAAAGUCAUAAACUCUCAAAACUCAGCUUUUUGCUUCAAACUUUCAAAACCUUUUGAAACCUAACACAACUUUGCAGGAGCUGCUAAUAAAUCAGGGGAGACGUGGCCAAUCUUCUGGACAGGGUUUGGAGCCAACACCUGUCCAAAAGGCUGACUAAGGAAUGCUCAAUAGUUGGCUAGCCAACUCAGCUUCGGCUGCCGAAUCGCAUGCAAAACCAUGCAACCUUCGGGGGCCGAAUCUGAGCUUCGGAAGCCCAACAUUGGGCACUUUCGGCGGCCGAACUUACCUUCGGCGGCUGAACUUGGCAAAAGUCCCCAUAAACUUUUCUCUUCAAAACACAUAGCAUUUUAACUUGAAAACCUUAAAACAAAACAUAACACUUAAGCAAACAUAAAGCCUACCCUUCGAUAGAAUUCCAACACCUCGGAUUCCACCAGACGACAGGAAUUCCGGUGCCGGAUUCUAGCCGGGUAUUACAUUCUCCCCCCUUAAGAACAUUCGUCCUCGGAUGUUCCUAAAGCAAACAAAAAAGCACAACAAAGAGGAGGAACUAACCUCAAAACAAAUAUGGAUACUGCUGGAGCAUAGACUCUCGCGUCUCCCACGUACACUCUUCUAGAUUAUGGUGGUUCCAUAGGACUUUCACCAUUGGAAUUUCCUUGUUCCUUAGCUGUCUGAUCUGUGUGUCCAGAAUCCGCACUGGCUGCUCUAUGUAGGUGAGAUCUGGAAGAAUCUCCACCUCAGGCUCACUCAGAACCUGAUUUGGAUCUGACACAAACUACCGUAGCAUAGACACAUGAAAUACCGGGUGAAUCCGCUCCAUAGAAGCAGGCAAAUCUAGCUUAUACGACACAUUUCUGAUCCUCUGCAAAAUCUCAAAGGGUCCAAUGUAUCGUGGAGCUAACUUACCCUUCUUUCCAAAACUAACCACUCCUUUCAUUGGAGACACUUUCAGCAAUACCCAAUUACCCUCCUGGAACUCUAACUGUUUUCUACGUACGUCUGCAUAGCUUUUCUGUCUACUCUGCGCUGUUCUGAUUCGCUCUCUGAUCACUGGCACUAUUCUACUGGUAAUCUCUAUCAACUCUAGCCCUGCAAGAGCUUUCUCUCCUACCUCUUCCCAGCAAACAGGUGAUCUGCACUUCCUCCCAUACAAUGCUUCAUAAGGAGCCAUUCCAAUGCUAGCAUGAUGACUGUUAUUGUUGGCAAACUCCACCAGAGGUAGAUGCUGCCUCCAAGAACCGCCAAAGUCUAACACACACAAUCGAAGCAUAUCUUCUAUGGUCUAGAUGGUCCUCUCAGACUGUCCAUCAGUCUGUGUGUGGAAAGCAGUGCUAAACUCUAGUCUCGUGCCUAUCGCACUCUGCAGACUUCGCCAAAACCUAGAGGUAAACUGAGGUCCUCUGUCUAAAACUAUAGACACUGGAACGCCAUGUAAUCUCACUAUCUCAUCCAGAUAGACCUGUGCCAACUUAUCCACAGAAUAGUUACUCCGUACUGGAAGAAAAUGAGCAGAUUUCGUGAGUCUGUCCACAAUCACCCAUAUAGAGUCUAUCCUGUUGGACGCUGCUGGUAAACCCACAACAAAAUCCAUAGCUAUGUUUUCCCAUUUCCACUCUGGAAUCGGCAGUGGGUUAAGCAUUCCUGCUGGUUUCUGAUGCUCUAGUUUCACCCUUUGACAAACCUCACAGGCUGUCACAAACUGCGCCACUUCUUUCUUCAUGGCUGGCCACCAAUAUACUCUCUUUAAAUCCUGAUACAUCUUGGUGGCUCCUGGGUGAACACUAUACCUUGCAUUAUGAGCUUCCCUCAUAAUGUCUUCCUUUAGACUGCUUUUAUCUGGUACACAAAGUCGACUCCCAUAACGAAGGAUCCCUUUGCUGUCAAAUCUAAACUCUGCAUUGUUGCCUGACUGAACCAUCCUGGCAAUUCUCAUCAACUCAGGGUCCUCGUGCUGUCUCUGAGCUAUCUGUUCCAAAAACACAGGUGUCACUCUCAUCUGUGCUAUCAACGCACCUGUACCAGACAACUCUAGCUGUAACCCUUCUUCUAAGAGCUUAUAAAGCUCCCUCACGACUGGUCUUCGCUCUGCUGCGAUAUGGGAUAAACUGCCUAGUGACUUCCGGCUUAGGGCAUCUGCUACAACAUUCGCCUUACCCGGAUGAUACUGGAUCUUACAAUCAUAAUGACUGAGCAAUUCUACCCAUCUUCUCUGCCUCAAAUUCAGCUCUCUCUGACUCAAGAUGUACUGUAAACUCUUAUGAUCGGUGAAGAUCUCGCAUUUAACCCCAUAGAGGUAAUGCCGCCUCAUCUUAAGUGCAAAGAUAACUGCUGCCAUCUCUAGGUCAUGGGUAGGGUAAUUCAACUCGUGCUUCUUGAACUGUCUAGAAGCAUAAGCUAUCACCCUAUCACUCUGAAUUAGAACACAGCCCAAUCCCACUCGAGAUGCAUCACAGAACACUGUGAACUCCUCAUUACUGCUAGGCAGAGCUAAAACUGGUGCUGUUGUCAAUCUCCUCUUGAGCUCCUCAAAGCUCUCUUCACACUGGUCUGACCAGACAAACUUCUGGUUCUUCUGAGUUAGUUUGGUCAUAGGAGCCGCUAUCUUCGAGAAGUCCUGAACGAACCUCCUGUAGUAACCUGCCAGUCCCAGAAAGCUUUUAAUCUCAGUCACUGUAGUGGGUCUGGGCCAGUUAGCUAUAGCCUCUAUCUUCUUGGGAUCCACCUCAAUACCCUCUGCUGAUACUACAUGUCCCAAGAAGGAAAUGCUCCUUAACCAAAACUCACACUUCGAGAACUUGGCAUAUAAACCAUGCUCUCUCAGUGUCUGCAAAACUAUCCGCAGAUGCUGGGCAUGCUCCUCUACAUCUCUGGAAUACACUAAGAUAUCAUCGAUAAAGACAAUCACAAAGUGAUCCAGAAACUCACUGAAAACUCUAUUCAUGAGAUCCAUGAAUGCUGCAGGGGCGUUAGUCAACCCGAACGACAUUACUAAGAACUCAUAAUGCCCAUAUCUGGUCCUGAAAGCUGUCUUAGGCACAUCUGCCUCUCUGACUCUCAACUGAUGAUAUCCGGAUCUCAGAUCUAUUUUAGAGAAACAACCUGCUCCAGCUAGCUAGUCAAAUAGAUCAUCAAUCCUAGGCAAAGGAUAUCUAUUCUUGGUAGUGACCUUGUUCAACUGUCUGUAGUCAAUACAAAGUCUGAGGGAUCCAUCCUUCUUUCUGACAAAGAGCACUGGAGCACCCCAAGGUGAGGUACUAGGGCGGAUGAAACCCUUAUCUACCAAGUCCUGCAACUGUGCUUUCAACUCUUUUAACUCUGCUGGUGCCAUCCUGUAGGGAGGAAUAGAGAUAGGUCUGGUACCAGGUAGCAAUUCUAUCUCAAACCCUAUCUCCCUAUCAGGUGGUAGUCCUGGUAAGUCGUCUGGGAACACAUCAAGAAACUCUCGGACUACUGGUAUUGUGGCUGGUUCCCUAACCUGACUAUCUAGCUCCCUCACAUGAGCUAGAUACCCCUGACAACCCCUCCUAAGCAAACGACGAGCCUGAAGGGCUGAAAUCAUACCUCUGGGUGUACCUCUCCUGUCUCCUCUGAAGACACACUCUGACCCAUCCUGGUCUCUGAGACUCACUAUCUUCUCUCUACAGUCCAAAGUAGCACUAUAUGCAGAUAACCAAUCCAUCCCUAGAAUGACAUCAAAAUCUGUCAAGUCUAGAACCACAAGGUCAGCUGGAAGGUAUCUACCCUCUAUGAACACUGGACUGAAACGACAGACUGACACUGCCACUGAUGGGUCACAUUUAGGUCCACUGACCCAGAGAGGAUACUCUAACUCAGAACUGAUCAAACCCAAUCUCUCUAUGGCUCUCGAAGCAAUAAAGGAAUGAGAAGCACCGGGGUCCAUCAAAGCAUACACAUCUGAACACCCAAUGAUGAGAUUACCUGACACCACUGUGUUCGACGUGUUAGCCUCCUCCUGUGUCACAGUGAAAAUCUGUGCUGGGGCUACCGGAUUUCCACCUCGGGAACCUGCUGCUGAAGUAGAGGCUACCCCUCUCCCUCUACCUCUGCCACUACUCUGAGGUACGGCUGGAGCUGCUGGCUGUACUACUGGCUGUACCACACUGCCUGAACUCAUCUGCUGGGAUGGUGCAAAAGUCAUCUGAGGACAAUCCCGAGCAAUAUGCCCUUCCUGUCCACAUCUAAAACAAGCGGUAGAUCCCAUUCGACAAGUCCCUACAUGUGGUCUUCCACAUCUUCUGCACACUGGAGCUGUGCCAGAGCUUGAGCCACUACCUAUUCCCAUACCUGACUUGACUUUACUCCAGAACUUACUCUUUGUACCUUUUGCUCUAUCCCAUCUUUUGCUACCUGACGCUACUGCACUGGGGGCUUUAGAACCCGAAGCCUGUGCCUUUGACUGUUUCUGAAUAUUGGCACUAGCUUCCAUUUUCCUGGCUGCGUCCACUAUCGUGUGGAAACUCUCCUUUUCUGCUGGAAGAAUCAAGCAAGAAUACCUGGGAUGCAGUCUCAUAGUAUAUCUCCUUGCCUUCUUCUGAUCAGUAUCAUAGGCUUGACCCACAUACUAAAGCAAAUCCGGGAACUUAUCUGUGAAUUCAUCAACACUCAUCUCAUCUGUCUGUCUCAACUGUUCAAACUCUAUUACUUUCAUCUCCCUGGAGCUAUCAGGAAAAGCCCACCCUGCAAAUUCAUUGGCGAACACUCCCCACGACAUGCUAUCAAUCCUGGGCUCCAUAUAGUUCUUAAACAAAUCUCUGGCUUUCUUACACUUCAAUGUAAACCCCGCCAUCUCAAUGGCUCUACUAUCAUCAGCUCCCAAUUCACUGGUUAUCAUCCUAACUGAUCUGAGGUAUUCAAAAGGAUCAUCUCCCGUGUUAUAUUUAGGAGCAUCCAAUUUCAAGUACUCCGUCAUUUGUACUUUACCUCCAGAUGAGCAAGGUUGAGGUAUUUGGGCAAUAGGGGCUACUGGUUCUGGUGGUGGUGGUGGAGGUACUGGUUCAUUGAGCUCUGGGUGUGCUGCACUAGGAUGAGUAGGGGAAGAUGGAUACAUAGGAUAUGGUGGAUAAUAGUAAGGAUAAGGCAUAUAUGGCAUGUAUGUAGGAUAUGGGUCAAAUCGAGAGUACUCCGACAUACCUUCCAUCGGAUACUCUGGAUCCUGGAAAACAGCUGGAUAAUCAAAUCCUGAGGUCUGAACGCCUCCCUGAGAGUCUCCCAUACCUUCAUCCAUAGACGGAUCAGUCUCCAUAGCCUCCCUCACUUCCUCCUCUGAUCUUCCUCCUCUCACUGUACCCCUUCUGCUCUCGUCUAUAGACCUUCUAGGGUCUAUUGACGUACCUUCCCUGCUAGAUCUCUGAGACCUUGCCCUUGGCAAUGCAGGAGGACGAGCAGCUGUUCUUUCACUAUCUGGUGGGACUCCAGUCAAUCGAGCUGAUCGACGAGUUCCUCUCAUCUUUACUUUCUGAAAAACAUAAUAUAGCACUUUAACAUAUUAACCUCACAUAACAAUAAUGCACAUGCAUAACUCAUGGCAGUAAACAGAUAAGACUCAACACCCUAUCCUAGUGGACAUGAUUUCUUACUGUGCUUGACCACUUCUAUCCUCUAUGAGCCCGACACUAUCUCUAUAGGUCCGAUCAUGUGAACCUAGGGCUCUGAUACCAAUAUGUAACGACCUCAAAUUGGACCGUCACCGGCGCUAGGAUUCAGGUCGGCUUAAGGCCGCCAGAACUCGUAGCAAGCCUGCUAUACUCUCUGUGUACCUGUAAAACUCAUACACGAUCAUACAUUUUCUGUGAAAAUAAAAACUCUUUGCUGAACCACGGCUUAACCUGUGCAUGCACUAUCUCUGUACUCUGUACUCUGUACUCUGUACUCUGUACUCCCUGACUAGAGCUUGCUCUAGAUGGGUUCAUUCAUACCUGUUAAGCCUGGUUUUUCACAUACUCUGUAAAACAUAUACAUAUACAGAUCAUGUACAUAACAAAAGCUUUACAACACAACAUAACGAAGUCAAGCACAACUCUACCUUAAUACACAACUAUUACAGCUCUUUAACAUUUACAUGUCCACUCUAUACUAUUACAAGCUCUUUCUGUACUCUGCUGGACUGUCCCUGUACACUGUUUACUGAACCUGCAAAACUGGGGUUAAGGGAGUGGGAUGAGCUCUAUAGCCCAAUGAGUAGAACAGGAAAACAUCUCAGUAAAAUAUGAUCUCAUGGAAUGCAUCAUAUCACAAACAAUCCAUAUCAAAGGUAAACCUGUCACCACAUAGUCCCAGUAACUCUAUGCUAGGGCAUAGAAUCGAGCACCUGUUCUUCCUGUGAUAUAUGUAUAUGUGUAUAUAACACCUCUGUACUUACCAUUGCCAGGGCGUAGUCAAAGGCUCCUGGAAUUUACUAUAUACUUGCCAGGGCAUAGUCAAAGGCUCCUGAACUUCUCUAUACCUGCCAGGGCGUAGUCAAAGGCUCCUGGACUUUCUGUCUGGAACUAUUGGAUCAUUCAGCAUUUACCCACACCAACAAUAUAGCUAUGCAAUGCACAUCUUUGUGAGUUCUAAUGCAAUUAACCUAUUGCAUAAACAUGAUGCAUGAAAGAUGCUAAAAGCAGUUAAUGUCUUAAUUAAAAUGAGUCAGAAGUUUAGUUCCACUCACCUCUGGCUACCUGGACUGACUGACUGUGCAGGUUCUGAAAACUCUGAGCAGAACUCACUGCUGCUCUCUCUGGUUCCUCUGGUCUGUAUAGGUACAGAGAAAACUUAAAUGAGGGACCAAACUAGCGUAUGACCACUCGAUUAAACUCCCCAAGAAUCCCCUUAAACUCACUUCAAAACUCAUGCAAAGCAUGCAAAGGAAAGCUGGACAGAACACUUUCGGCGGCAGGUUCGGCGGCCGAAAGUCCUCUCCAGAGACGAAACUCAAGCACCUUCGGCGGCCGAAGCUCUUCUUUCGGCGGCCGAAGCUCUUCUUUCGGGGGCUAGUUUCGGGGGCCAAAAGGCACUCCAGAGACGAAAGUCUCUAACCUUCGGCGGCCGAAUCCCCCAAACAGAGCCGAACAUGCAAAACUCUCGGGGGCAAGCUGUGGCAGCUAAAGCCACCAUGCAAGAGGUUCGGCGGCCGAAUGAUCCUUCUGCUGCCGAACCUGAGUUCAUCCAAAACUCAGCCCCGAUGGCAAACAAGCUCCUCCAUCCCUUCAAGCUCUCAAAACAUGCAUACCUCAACUCCUCUACACACAUAUACUCAUGUAUAUGUAUAAAGGGGUCCCAAACUACCUAAGCACCCCAACAAACACAUCAAAGAUAACACAUAAUCAUGCUUACAUGCAUAAACCAUUAAAACAACACCCUUCAGCACCCAAGCAUGCAUCUCUACCCACCCUUUAGGAUAAAACUGUUGUAAAUCAUUAAAACAUGUUCAAGAUCUUCACUUACCUUCUGUAACCAAGAAGAUGAACGAUCUGAACAAAGAGAAAUGGAUCAACUCCUCCUCAAAGUCAUAAACUCUCAAAACUCAGCUUUUUGCUUCAAACUUUCAAAACCUUUUGAAACCUAACACAACUUUGCAGGAGCUGCUAAUAAAUCAGGGGAGACGUGGCCAAUCUUCUAGACAGGGUUUGGAGCCAACACCUGUCCAAAAGGCUGACUAAGGAAUGCUCAAUAGUUGGCUAGCCAACUCAGCUUCGGCUGCCGAAUCGCAUGCAAAACCAUGCAACCUUCGGGGGCCGAAUCUGAGCUUUGGAAGCCGAACAUUGGGCACUUUCGGCGGCCGAACUUACCUUCGGCGGUCGAACUUGGCAAAAGGCCCCAUAAACUUUUAUCUUCAAAACACAUAGCAUUUUAACUUGAAAACCUUAAAACAAAACAUAACACUUAAGCAAACAUAAAGCCUACCCUUCGAUAGAAUUCCAACACCCCGGAUUCCACCAGACGACAGGAAUUCCGGUGCCGGAUUCUAGCCGGGUAUUACAAUUGUCACCGGUGAUGGUUGCAUCUCCAUUUGCCAGGGGAGCAAGCAAGUACGAAUCACAAAUGUAAGGUGCAGACACGGGCAUGGCAUUAGUGUUGGAAGCUUAGGAAGGUACGAGAAGGAAGAACCUGUGUCCGGAAUUUAUGUAAAGAAUUGCACAAUAUACGACACUGACAAUGGCGUGAGAAUUAAGACUUGGCCCGCAUUGUAUGGUGGCAUUGCGUCGAAUAUCCAUUUCGAGGACAUCGUCAUGCAGAACGUCAGCAAUCCCAUCAUUAUAGAUCAAAUGUACUGCCCAUGGAACCUAUACAAUCGGAAGGUAACUUUUUAAUUUUCAUUUUUUUUCAACCAAAAAGGGGAAUCUUUUUUAUUAUUAUUAUUUAUUCAUAGAGAUCAUAUAGUUGUGUGAUGUUGGCUAGAAGAAUACAUUUAUACUAAAAUAUUGUACCUUUUUUCAGAAGCCAUCAAAAGUUCAAAUCAGCGACGUCAGCUUCAAGAAUAUUCAAGGAUCGUCAAGAACGCCCACGACCGUUCAAAUUACGUGCAGCAGCAGCGUACCAUGCAAGGACAUUGUGCUUUCUAACGUUAACCUCAAGUACACCGGAUCUAAGGGAUCUGCAAAAUCUGUUUGUACAAAUGUUAAGCCUAGGAUUAUAGGAAAGUUGAUUCCGGGAGGAUGCUAAUGCACUCAUUUGUUGAUUCUUUUUAUAAAUGGAGAAAAUUUCUCGAUUGCACAUUGCAAUUCAUUCUUCAACUUUUCAAAUUUAAAUGAACUAGAUCAAAUAUGACUAAAACCAAUAACUAAAAUAUUUCAAAUUUAACUGAUAUUAACAGUACGUAAAUAAUUUUUUAAGACCUCAAUCGUAAAAAUUGCAAAAUGAAAUAAAAAAAGACAAUUUAUUAAAUGAACUUAUUAAUUUAAUUGUCAAAAUUCAAAUUAAAAUGCUAUAAUUCAAUUGUAUCAAAAUUUUACUUUAUCGAAGUUCAGAAUGAUUCAUUUCUUAAUUAAAAAACUAUAAUUCGAAAUUAAGAAAUCAAAACGAAAUUUAUUUCCCUGUAAUCCUAGCCCUACCAUCAUAAUUAAAAUAUUGCAAUUCAAAAUUUUUUUUUCCUUUUUUAAUUAGCGCAAUAUAAUUCGAAGAAAAUAUAUAUAUCAGUCUGCUCCAAAAUUUUGCCUUCGCUUUUUUGGUGUAAUUUAUUUCCUAAUGUAACUGUUUUAAGGAAUCGAGGAAACAAAAAUAAUAUACCGCUGUAAGGAGACGAAAUGUGCUACAAAGCUCGUUGUGAAUUUUUUUUUUCUUUUUGCUGCGUUCCAUUUAAAAGCAAAUGAUUACAACCGAAGCUGAAUAUAUUGUCAACGCUGAAAUAAAGUACGCAUAAAAUAUUACGGUGCGUCUUCACUCAAGAAAAGAGAGAAAAGAUGCGGUAUGUUUUUUUUUUCUUUCCUCUUUUCUUCUUUCUUUUUUUUUUCUUGUACUUGUCAGAAAACAGUGCGUAUGCACGCGCGAGAAAAGGAAUUGCGGGUGCGGCAACACCAAUCCUUCCGCGUCCAACACGACUAGAAUUGCGGAAGUACGAAAAAGGUUGUUGCGCAAGUUAUAUAGGGUUCCAGUAUAAAACAAUAUGUUUGGAGAGAACUGCGCAGGUUGUAGUUGUUAGUUGCAGGCUAGCGCACGCAGCCUUUUUUCGCCUAAAACAAUUAAAGCAACAAAAAGAAGGAAUGCGUGAAAAUGCUACAGCCUGUAAUAAACCUUGAGUAAAUUAAACGAGCCAGUUGACAUAUAAAAGGCCUUUCGGAGGAGGGGAAAUUCACAGACAUUUACGAAACAAUAUAAGCUAUAGAUAUCAAAAGAGAGGAAGCGCCUUUGAAAGAGAGACAUGGGUUCCAAGGCACAUGUAUGCAUAGUAUACCUAUUGUUGCUGUUUGCUUUUACCAGCGAAGCUCUGCCCAAUACCUUUGAUGUCACGAAAUAUGGUGCCAAGGCAGGAUCGGAUAUCACUAAGGUAUGGAAGUAAAUUCGAUUCUCGAUAUCGCGACGGUAUUUCCUAGAUUGUUGCGGCCAGGUUUUUCAUUCCCGUUUUCGUUUUUAGGCUUUAUUGAGUGCGUGGAAAGAGGGAUGUGCAGCAGCGAGUCCCGGCAAAGUAGUGGUACCAAAAGGGAAGUACUUUUUAGGCGUGGUGGAUUUGAUAGGCCCUUGCAAGGGUGCCAUGCAUCUUCCAGUGGAAGGAACGUUGGUGGCGCCAGCAAAAGCUAGCCAACACAGCAAGAAUAGCUGGGUUACAUUGAGAUACCUGGACCGAUUAACGGUAUCCGGUGGCGGGGCCUU
RNAcentral lists this long non-coding RNA (12849 nucleotides) under Manihot esculenta (cassava). RNAcentral describes it as "long non-coding RNA (MESC_LNC004095)". Lineage: Eukaryota; Viridiplantae; Streptophyta; Magnoliopsida; Malpighiales; Euphorbiaceae. The record is from RNAcentral.